ACUUGAUCUCAAAUCAGAUAAGAGUACCCGCUGAACUUAAGCAUAUCAAUAAGCGGAGGAAAAGAAACUAACAAGGAUUCCCUUAGUAACGGCGAGUGAAGCGGGAAGAGCUCAAAUUUGAAAUCUUCAAGGUUCUACCUUGACGAAUUGUAGUUUAAAGAAGUGUUUUCUGUUAGAUGAGUAGCAAAAGUCCCUUGGAAUGGGACAUCAUAGAGGGUGAGAAUCCCGUAUUUGGUUAUUCAUUCUAGCUUUGUGAUACACUUUCAAAGAGUCGGAUUGUUUGGGAAUGCAGUCCAAAAUGGGUGGUUAAUUUCAUCUAAAGCUAAAUAUUGGCGAGAGACCGACAGCGAACAAGUACCGUGAGGGAAAGAUGAAAAGAACUUUGAAAAGAGAGUUAAACAGUACGUGAAAUUGUCAAAAGGGAAGCGUUUGACACCAGUGUUGUUUUUCCGAAAAUCAAUUACGAAUGGCUUGAUUUUGUGUUGUAUUGACCUUAUCAGCUUUCUUCACUUUUUUCGAGUCUUUCUUAAUGCACUUUUCGGUUAACAAGUCAACAUCAAUUUCUUUUGUUGUAAAAGAGUAUUCGGAAGGUGGCUUUCUUUUCGGAGAAAGUGUUUAUAGCCCUAUACUUCUACAAUCGGAGAGAUUGAGGUCUGCAGCGUAGAUCCUUCGGGGUUAGAUACAUUUGUGCUAAGUUGUAGCUUUUCAUAGACAACUUGUUGACUAUGUUUAGUCAUGCGGCUUACUCGCUUAUGCUAUUUUACCUACGCUUAGGAUGUUGACAAAAUGGUUUUAAACGACCCGUCUUGAAACACGGACC
This 820-nucleotide ribosomal RNA is filed under the name Neocallimastix sp. NYR2. RNAcentral describes it as "eukaryotic LSU rRNA". It matches the Rfam family "Eukaryotic large subunit ribosomal RNA", at positions 1 to 667 of the family's 3401-position model. Lineage: Eukaryota; Fungi; Neocallimastigomycota; Neocallimastigomycetes; Neocallimastigales; Neocallimastigaceae. The record is from RNAcentral.